Molecule: long non-coding RNA, 470 nt
Filed under: Chrysemys picta bellii (western painted turtle)
Lineage: Eukaryota; Metazoa; Chordata; Testudines; Emydidae
Description: lncRNA (ENSCPBG00000002739.1)
Source: RNAcentral
UUUGCCUCAGGAUCUAACAUUGACAUGUCAUAAAAUUUCCGGGAUGGGGGGCCUUGCUGCAGAAUUUAGGAUCAGCCUUUUCUUCUUGCUAUGGGUGUGGAUUUUAAUUUAGGUGCUCAUCAGGAUAUCAAUCCAAAAAGUAGAAAAAGAAGAGAGAGAAUUCCAGUAAAACCAACUCCUCAUAUAAAAUCCAAAUUAAAUCUGAAGGGGCAGGAAAAAAGUGCACAAAUCCAAUUAAGCAGUUGAUGCCAAAACCUGCGCUCCUGGCGAAAUGCAUCAUGCAGCACGUCAAGUUGCCAGCACCAUAGAGAAGAGGGAAGUGAAGGAUAGAUGGGCACAGGAGGAAGAAGCAGAGCUCAGACUUUCUUUGAUCUAUUCCAGGUGGAGCUUUUCUGACCCCAGGCAUAGCAGAUCAAAGAGAAGAGUCAGAAUGCAGAUCACUUGAGUAUUUCAUGAUCCUAAAAAAUAUU